GCUGCCCCGGGAGCCAUGGGUCCUAUUGGAGCAGAGCGAGGAUGCAGAGGGAGGAGGCAAGGGAGGGGGAGAAAGGGGAGGAGGAUGGAGCCCUCCUCCUGAUACGGUAGUGGUAGUAAGAAUCAGCAGCGCGGGCAAGGAGUACGGACGGGAGUCAGAGGCAGAGCGAGGGUGUGUGGAGGGCCGGCGGGGACCGCCGGGAGCGCGCGGAUGUCGGUGUUCCUGGGGCCAGGGAUGCCCUCUGCAUCUUUAUUAGUAAAUCUUCUUUCAGCUUUACUCAUCCUAUUUGUGUUUGGAGAAACAGAAAUAAGAUUUACUGGACAAACUGAAUUUGUUGUUAAUGAAACAAGUACAACAGUUAUUCGUCUUAUCAUUGAAAGGAUAGGAGAGCCAGCAAAUGUUACUGCAAUUGUAUCGCUGUAUGGAGAGGACGCUGGUGACUUUUUUGACACAUAUGCUGCAGCUUUUAUACCUGCUGGAGAAACAAACAGAACAGUGUACAUAGCAGUAUGUGAUGAUGACUUACCAGAGCCUGACGAAACUUUUAUUUUUCACUUAACAUUACAGAAACCUUCAGCAAAUGUGAAGCUUGGAUGGCCAAGGACUGUUACUGUGACAAUAUUAUCAAAUGACAAUGCAUUUGGAAUUAUUUCAUUUAAUAUGCUUCCCUCAAUCGCAGUGAGUGAGCCCAAGGACAGAAAUGAGUCUAUGCCUCUUACUCUCAUCAGGGAAAAGGGGACCUAUGGAAUGGUCAUGGUGACUUUUGAGGUAGAGGGUGGCCCAAAUCCCCCUGAUGAAGAUUUGAGUCCAGUUAAAGGAAAUAUCACCUUUCCCCCUGGCAAAGCAACAGUAAUUUAUAACUUGACAGUACUCGAUGACGAGGUUGGCUAAUGUUACAUACCCAAAUGGGACAAGGAUUCUGUGUUGCAGGACACAGUCCUGUAUAAACUUAGUGUAUUGUGGCCAGUCGCACCUCAGCUAUAAAUAGCUGACUGUUCUGGAAUACAUCUUAUUACUAUUUAUCUUACUUAAUUCACAUUAAAUUACACAUCUAAAAGCUGAUGAAUCUGAAUAUAACUGGCAACCAUACAUCAUACAAAUAUUUAAGCAUUUUGUAUACCCUGGUAAUCAAUUUUUGUUAGUGCUUUCAAUUUUGAGCAAGAACAAUACUAACCUAGAAUAAAUAUUUUACCAUAAAAGCAAAGAAAAAUUCUACUGCAGUUGGUAUUCUUUUGUUUGGAUUUUUUUGUUGUUGUUUAGAAGGAGUCUCGCUCUGUUGCCCAGGCUGGAGUGCAGUGGCACGAUCUCGGCUCACUGCAAGCUCCGCCUCCCAGGUUCACACCAUUCUCCUGCCUCAGCCCCCCGAGUAGCUGGGACUACAGGUGCCUGCCACCAUGCCCGGCUAAUUUUUUGUAUUUUUAAUAGAGACGGGGUUUCGCUGUGUUAGCCAGGAUGGUCUCGAUCUCCUGACCUCGUGAUCCGCCAGCCUCGGCCUCCCAAAGUGCUGGGAUUACAGGCGUGAGCCACCGCACCAGGCUUGUUUGGAUAUUUUUAAUGUUCACAUUUAUGGGAAGAUUUUUAUUAUUUUUAUAUUUCACAUUGGAACUAGCAAGGAUAGAGAUACAUGAUACAGCUAGCUUAAUUGCUAAGAAAAGAAUGAAUCUGAACAAUAAUGUGCAAGGAUGUCCCCCACAGGAGCUAAACGAGAGAAAACAUGACUUUUUAUAAAAGAAACUAAGUUUUGCCAGAAAAGAAAACAAAAAGAAAAUAGCUGGGAAUUUGUAACCCUCCCUCUACCCUCCUACAAAAAUUCUGAAACUAAAUCACAAAAAAACUCAAGAGAAGGGAAAAAAUGUAUUAGAGUAUUAGAAGACAUUAUUAGAAAAGAAUUUUUCUCUUGAAAAAAAAUGAAAUAUUUGGAAGCAUUGAUAUCUCCAGUUCCUCUGGUUCUGGAAGCAAGCAAAAAAACCUUUUUGUUUUAAGAUCUCAGAGCAUUGAAUGGGCUAUAAUUUGGGGAGAUGAUUAAUUAUACAUUUUGAUUGUAAAUUUGAAAGAUCAAUCUAAUCAUAACAUUUUAUUUUUAAGAUAAAUAGCUUUGCUUUUUAUAUUGCUGCUGAUGGAGGUAAAAGCAUGCAUUUUUUUCACUUUUAUUUCUAAAAUAGAGUUUAUGGUGAAUGAAAAGCUCACACAGCACAGUGGAGAUUAACCCCAAGAUUUCUCUGCAGC
RNAcentral lists this small RNA (2226 nucleotides) under Pan troglodytes (chimpanzee). RNAcentral's name for it is "retained intron". The record is from RNAcentral. Lineage: Eukaryota; Metazoa; Chordata; Mammalia; Primates; Hominidae.